CCUACGGGAGGCAGCAGUGAGGAAUAUUGGUCAAUGGGCGCGAGCCUGAACCAGCCAAGUCGCGUGAGGGAAGACGGUCCUAUGGAUUGUAAACCUCUUUUGUCGGGGAGCAAAAGACGCCACGCGUGGCGUUCCGAGAGUACCCGAAGAAAAAGCAUCGGCUAACUCCGUGCCAGCAGCCGCGGUAAUACGGAGGAUGCGAGCGUUAUCCGGAUUUAUUGGGUUUAAAGGGUGCGCAGGCGGAAGAUCAAGUCUGGGGUAAAAUUGAGAGGCUCAACCUCUUCGAGCCGUUGAAACUGGUUUGCUUGAGUGAGUGAGAAGUAUGCGGAAUGCGUGGUGUAGCGGUGAAAUGCAUAGAUAUCACGCAGAACUCCGAUUGCGAAGGCAGCAUACCGGCGCUCAACUGACGCUCAUGCACGAAAGUGUGGGUAUCGAACAGGAUUAAUACCCGAGUAGUC
Molecule: ribosomal RNA, 458 nt
Filed under: uncultured bacterium
Lineage: Bacteria
Description: partial 16S ribosomal RNA
Rfam family: Bacterial small subunit ribosomal RNA
Source: RNAcentral